RNAcentral lists this ribosomal RNA (464 nucleotides) under uncultured bacterium. RNAcentral describes it as "partial 16S ribosomal RNA". It matches the Rfam family "Bacterial small subunit ribosomal RNA", at positions 29 to 507 of the family's 1533-position model. The record is from RNAcentral.
ACGAACGCUGGCGGCGUGCUUAACACAUGCAAGUCGAACGGAAAGGCCCUGCUUGCCGGGUACUCGAGUGGCGAACGGGUGAGUAACACGUGGGUGAUCUGCCCUGCACUUCGGGAUAAGCCUGGGAAACUGGGUCUAAUACCGGAUAGGAGCCAUUUUUAGUGUGAUGGUUGGAAAGUUUUUUCGGUGUAGGAUGAGCUCGCGGCCUAUCAGCUUGUUGGUGGGGUAAUGGCCUACCAAGGCGGCGACGGGUAGCCGGCCUGAGAGGGUGGACGGCCACAUUGGGACUGAGAUACGGCCCAGACUCCUACGGGAGGCAGCAGUGGGGAAUAUUGCACAAUGGGCGCAAGCCUGAUGCAGCGACGCCGCGUGGGGGAUGACGGCCUUCGGGUUGUAAACUCCUUUCGCUAGGGACGAAGCUUUUAGUGACGGUACCUAGAUAAGAAGCACCGGCUAACUACGUG